This 129-nucleotide small nuclear RNA is filed under the name Catagonus wagneri (Chacoan peccary). Its description in RNAcentral is "U5 spliceosomal RNA (ENSCWAG00000009736.1)". The stretch from base 1 to 113 matches the Rfam family "U5 spliceosomal RNA". From Rfam's summary of the family: U5 RNA is a component of both types of known spliceosome. The precise function of this molecule is unknown, though it is known that the 5' loop is required for splice site selection and p220 binding, and that both the 3' stem-loop and the Sm site are important for Sm protein binding and cap methylation. The record is from RNAcentral. Lineage: Eukaryota; Metazoa; Chordata; Mammalia; Artiodactyla; Tayassuidae.
AUACUCUGGUUUCUCCUCAGAUUGUAUAAAUCUUUUGCCUUUUUCUAAAGAUUUCCAUGGAUAGAGUUCUCUUGUGGCACAUCAGGUUAAGGAUCUAGCAUUUUCACUGCAGUAGCUUGGGUAACUGCU